GAUGAACGCUGGCGGCGUGCCUAACACAUGCAAGUCGAGCGAUUCUCUUCGGAGAAGAGCGGCGGACGGGUGAGUAACGCGUGGGUAACCUGCCCUGUACACACGGAUAACAUACCGAAAGGUAUGCUAAUACGAGAUAAUAUACUUUUAUCGCAUGGUAGAAGUAUCAAAGCUUUUGCGGUACAGGAUGGACCCGCGUCUGAUUAGCUAGUUGGUAAGGUAACGGCUUACCAAGGCGACGAUCAGUAGCCGACCUGAGAGGGUGAUCGGCCACAUUGGAACUGAGACACGGUCCAAACUCCUACGGGAGGCAGCAGUGGGGAAUAUUGCACAAUGGGCGAAAGCCUGAUGCAGCAACGCCGUGUGAGCGAUGAAGGCCUCGGUCGUAAAGCUCUGUCCUCAAGGAAGAUAAUAGACGGUACUUGUAGGAGGAAGCCCGGCGUAACUACGUGCCAGCAGCCGCGGUAAGU
This 470-nucleotide ribosomal RNA is filed under the name uncultured bacterium. RNAcentral describes it as "bacterial SSU rRNA". It matches the Rfam family "Bacterial small subunit ribosomal RNA", at positions 28 to 525 of the family's 1533-position model. The record is from RNAcentral.